AUUGAACGCUGGCGGCAUGCUUUACACAUGCAAGUCGAACGGUAACAGGCCGCAAGGUGCUGACGAGUGGCGAACGGGUGAGUAAUGCAUCGGAACAUGCCCAGUCGUGGGGGAUAACUACUCGAAAGAGUAGCUAAUACCGCAUACGAUCUAUGGAUGAAAGCGGGGGACCGUAAGGCCUCGCGCGAUUGGAGCGGCCGAUGUCAGAUUAGGUAGUUGGUGGGGUAAAGGCUCACCAAGCCAACGAUCUGUAGCUGGUCUGAGAGGACGACCAGCCACACUGGGACUGAGACGCGGCCCAGACUCCUACGGGAGGCAGCAGUGGGGAAUUUUGGACAAUGGGCGCAAGCCUGAUCCAGCAAUGCCGCGUGCAGGAAGAAGGCCUUCGGGUUGUAAACUGCUUUUGUACGGAACGAAACGGCUCUGGUUAAUACCCGGGGCUAAUGACGGUACCGUAAGAAUAAGCACCGGCUAACUACGUG
RNAcentral lists this ribosomal RNA (482 nucleotides) under uncultured bacterium. RNAcentral describes it as "partial 16S ribosomal RNA". It matches the Rfam family "Bacterial small subunit ribosomal RNA", at positions 30 to 507 of the family's 1533-position model. The record is from RNAcentral.